RNAcentral lists this long non-coding RNA (805 nucleotides) under Triticum aestivum (bread wheat). Its description in RNAcentral is "long non-coding RNA (TAES_LNC015539)". The record is from RNAcentral. Lineage: Eukaryota; Viridiplantae; Streptophyta; Magnoliopsida; Poales; Poaceae.
UCAAAUCAGUCAAUUAUAGUGCCCGUAUAACAUUUGGACACAUCAGAGAGGAUGCCCAGUAUUGGAAACAAAAUUUAUGCUGCAGAAAAAAUCCAGACAUGAAGCAAUCAGGAUAUACACAUUCAGAGAUUCCCUUCGACGUUACUCAAAUCAGUCAAUUGUAUAUCCCGCAUAACAUUUGAACAAAUCAAAAGAGGAAGUAUCCUGACCACAUAUGACAAGCCAAUCCAGGGACACAGGGAUUCCCACCUACUCUAUCUAUCUACAAACAAAAUUUUCCCUCUCCAGCACCAGAAUGGGAGUGGUCAACUUGAGCUGCUUUACUGCAUUCUUCUUGAACUCAGCACGUCAGGAUCCAAAAUCUUAACAGCAACCUGUUACAGCAACAUACAAGGGAAUCAAAUACUACCAUCGUCAUCUCAAAAGCCUCACUUUUCAUAGCAAAAUAAGCUCAGAUCACAUUACUUCUUGUUGAUGAAAUCUAUCACGCUAACCAGAAAACUAACCAAAAAAUGGAAGGAAAUUGCUAAUGAGCCACAUCACAGAUCAAACAAAAAUGUUAUCUCUGUUUCAAGAAUUUCAGCCCAUGAAGUCACAUAUCAUCUAUUUGAAUAUGAUACACGAACAGUCCUGACCUGCUGGUAGCUUCUUCUUCUUCUGCAGCAGAACAACGUCGUCGCAGUCAACAGGCACCCUUCUUCUACCAAUCACCUCCGAAGCCCUCAAAAUGUUCUGAGGCAAGAAAUCUUCCCCCACCGGCGAAAAACCAUCUAGCUCCAGAAUGAGUAACCGCCUGGCGUGGCUC